This 295-nucleotide ribosomal RNA is filed under the name uncultured bacterium. RNAcentral's name for it is "partial 16S ribosomal RNA". It matches the Rfam family "Bacterial small subunit ribosomal RNA", at positions 337 to 629 of the family's 1533-position model. The record is from RNAcentral.
UCCUACGGGGGGCAGCAGUGAGGAAUAUUGGUCAAUGGCCGAGAGGCUGAACCAGCCAAGUCGCGUGAGGGAAGACGGCCCUACGGGUUGUAAACCUCUUUUGUCAGGGAGCAAAGGCGUCCACGUGUGGACGAGAGGAGAGUACCUGAAGAAAAAGCAUCGGCUAACUCCGUGCCAGCGGCCGCGGUAAUACGGAGGAUGCGAGCGUUAUCCGGAUUUAUUGGGUUUAAAGGGUGCGUAGGCGGAGUGUCAAGUCAGCGGUAAAAUUUCGGGGCUCAACCACGUCGUGCCGUUG